CAUGCUAAAAAUCCCGACUUCGGAAGGGAUGUAUUUAUUAGAUUAAAAACCAAUGCCCUUCGGGGCUCACUGGUGAUUCAUGAUAACUCCUCGAAUCGCAUGGCCUUGUGCCGGCGAUGGUUCAUUCAAAUUUCUUCCCUAUCAACUUUCGAUGUUUGGGUAUUGGCCAAACAUGGUUGCAACGGGUAACGGAGGGUUAGGGCUCGACCCCGGAGAAGGAGCCUGAGAAACGGCUACUACAUCCAAGGAAGGCAGCAGGCGCGCAAAUUACCCAAUCCCGACACGGGGAGGUAGUGACAAUAAAUACUGAUACAGGGCUCUUUUGGGUCUUGUAAUUGGAAUGAGUACAAUUUAAAUCCCUUAACGAGGAACAAUUGGAGGGCAAGUCUGGUGCCAGCAGCCGCGGUAAUUCCAGCUCCAAUAGCGUAUAUUAAAGUUGUUGUGGUUAAAAAGCUCGUAGUUGAACCUUGGGCCUGGCCGUCCGGUCCGCCUCACCGCGUGUACUGGCUCGGCCGGGCCUUUCCCUCUGUGGAACCCCAUGCCCUUCACUGGGCGUGGCGGGGAAACAGGACUUUUACUGUGAAAAAAUUAGAGUGCUCCAGGCAGGCCUAUGCUCGAAUACAUUAGCAUGGAAUAAUAGAAUAGGACGUGUGGUUCUAUUUUGUUGGUUUCUAGGACCGCCGUAAUGAUUAAUAG
This 696-nucleotide ribosomal RNA is filed under the name Fusarium equiseti. Its description in RNAcentral is "SSU rRNA". It matches the Rfam family "Eukaryotic small subunit ribosomal RNA", at positions 170 to 875 of the family's 1831-position model. Lineage: Eukaryota; Fungi; Ascomycota; Sordariomycetes; Hypocreales; Nectriaceae. The record is from RNAcentral.